This is a long non-coding RNA of Amphimedon queenslandica, 387 nucleotides long. RefSeq lists it as uncharacterized. The record is from RefSeq and is a predicted model, not a curated record. Lineage: Eukaryota; Metazoa; Porifera; Demospongiae; Haplosclerida; Niphatidae. The transcript is spliced from 2 exons.
AGUAGCUGCUAUUUAUAAGUAUCAGUUCCAAUUUACAAAUAGGAGUUCAGCAAGAGUCAUGUGGUCUUCUCCCCUCCUCAAGUAGGCGUGUUCUGUGGACAAGAUGGCGUCGGCAAAGUUCAUAAGCAAGUUGAAAAUUGAAACAAAUAUACAAUUGCAAGUUUAUCCACUUUAAAGACCUGUAAGGCUGUAACAGCUUUACAGGAUGAAAAAAGAGGAAAAGACUAAAUUAAUAACGAAGAAAUUAUGAUAUCGAAACUGCUCAAUAGUUGUAUCACUCCGCAGUGAUGUUAUCCUGAUUAUGUAUUUAUGACAUGCCCUUAAUUAAAUAUUUUUUUGAAUUCUGUUGUUGCUGUUUUGUGUGAAAAUUACAAAGUCAUAAAUGAG